Molecule: transfer RNA, 69 nt
Filed under: Marmota monax (woodchuck)
Lineage: Eukaryota; Metazoa; Chordata; Mammalia; Rodentia; Sciuridae
Description: tRNA.Undet
Source: RNAcentral
GGGCUGGGGCUCAGUGGUAGAGCACUUGCUCGCAUGUGCAAGGCCCCGGGUUCGAUCCUCAGCACCUCA